Non-coding RNA from Paramuricea clavata, 438 nucleotides. Lineage: Eukaryota; Metazoa; Cnidaria; Anthozoa; Malacalcyonacea; Plexauridae. The record is from the annotation of a GenBank genome assembly.
GCUGCACAUUUUAACAGAAAAAAAAACACAAUCUAUUACUCUAUUUAGUAUUUCACAAGUAUUUCACAGAUUAUUAUUCAAUAAACAGUAAAAUUUCAGUCAAAACACCGUAUUGAUUGAUCUAAGAUAAAUUAGUCUUGGUGGCUGCAGCCAAAAACUGAAACGCCUGCUUUGCAGGCUAUUUUUAUAUAGAUGUUGCGAACUAUUGCAAUAUCUCAAUGGAUAAAAUCGAAUUGAUUUCUAAUAAGUAGGUUUCAUUAUGUGCAGUUGUCUUGUAUAUUUGGUGGCAAUAAAUUGAAUUGAGAGAUGACUGCUCUUACAAUUCAAAUGUUGACCAGUGUAUGCUGUUACUGAAAUCUAUCAAUACCAAUGAACUCUAUAAAAACUGGAACGAUAACUCCGGCUUUGUUUUUGAAGUCAAAGAUGGCGGAAAUUGAA